AGUUAUGGGAAGCACUUUUAGGAAUGGGUCCGAAACAUAUUUAGUUAGUCACGACAGUUACGAAGAAGAGUUGCAAACACCUGCAGAUCUCUUGGACAAUCCGCUCCAUAGCUCUUUUAAGUGUCGAAACAUAAUCUACCUCGAAUCUUGAUUUUUGUCGAGUUUGUGUUAUUUCCCUGAAGCCUCUCCGGUGGUAAAUGUCUUAUUGUUCGUUUUUAUAGCAAUACUAAUAAAUAACGUAACUAGCUGAUAAGGCAACAUUGCACUAUAUUUUUGAUUGUUUCUGUUUAUACUAUUUUGCACUAAAAUAUUGGUGAAGAUGCACACCACGCAGAAGGACACGACCUACACGAAGGUUUUUGUCGGGGGUCUUCCAUACCACACUACGGAUUCCAGUCUCAGGAAAUAUUUUGAAGUGUUUGGAGAAAUUGAAGAAGCAGUCGUGAUUACCGACCGACAGACCGGCAAGUCCAGGGGGUAUGGAUUCGUGACGAUGGCGGACCGCUCGGCUGCAGACAGGGCCUGUAAAGAUCCGAACCCCAUCAUCGACGGCAGGAAAGCCAACGUCAACCUGGCGUACCUGGGGGCCAAGCCACGGGUGAUGCAGCCAGGUUUCACUUUUGGUGUUCCACAAAUCCAUCCUGCCUUUAUCCAAAGGCCUUAUGGGUAAGUACUGAUGCUUCUUUGUGUGUGUUGAGGGGAUGGUUGGGUGUUGAUGAGUGAAAACCUAUAUGAAACCUCACUAGAGUUACCUCACUGAAUCUGUUACUUAUAAUAUAUUAGCAGUGAUGUCCCUCAUUUGGCGAAAGUCUAGCAUUGUUAAGACAUGUUCAUACAAUGACAUGUAUGUUUAUAUAAUCUGUUUAUGUAAUUGUUUUGUGCUUAGUCCUAUUUUUCGCCAUACUUGCAUGAUUACAGUGCAUGAUAAUUAUGUUGAGGGGAAAAAACUGUUUCACAAGUCCUCUUUCUUUUUAUCACUGACUACAAAGUUGACCACCAUAUCAGUGUAAGGUUUGUGUGAGUGAAAGAGAAAGUGUGUGUGUGUGUGUGUGUGUGUGUGUGUGUGUUAUGCGUUGAGUACAACUAAUGGAAAGUUAGAGCCUCAAUGACUCAAUGUUAUCUAUCUCUCUCUGGUCCGACAGGCUCGAUACAGGUUAACAUAACUGGUGGUUUCAGGAUUAUUUCUGUGGCCAUGUCACAGAUCAGACCAGGGAAUUACCUGUAAUUUCAAACGCACACAAACAAGCUCAAAUGGUGAUUAUAGAUGCAUGUACGUUGGUUUUAAUUUUGGUUUUGAGUUUUAAUUUAUUUAGAAUAGCAAUUAGAGCUUUGUGUGCUUUUUCUUUUACUGUUAUGAAGUGGUGUUCAUAGCUAAACCGUGUGCUGUCUAUUUAAUGACCGAAAAAAGCUGGUUGGAUGAUAUUUGGGGUGUUCUUUUCCGUUUUUGUGGAAGAGUGUUGACUUUGCCAGGGGGAGCAAAAAAAUAAAUGUAUUUGAUUUGAUGCUUUUGUGUUGUAGCUUGUGGUUUACUUUUUCUUUGGUAACAUUGUUCUGUGUGUUGUUGGAUGUGUUGUUGGACGUGAAGGACGGUGUUCUAUGUGUUGUUGGCGUGAGGGAUGGUGUUCUGUGUGUUGUUGGAUGUGUUGUUGGAUGUGUUGUUGGCGUGAGGGACGGUGUUCUAUGUGUUGUUGGAUAUGUUGGCGUGAGGGAUGGUGUUCUGUGUGUUGUUGGAUGUGUUGUUGGCGUGAGGGACGGUGUUCUGUGUGUUGUUGGAUGUGUUGUUGGCGUGAGGGACGGUGUUCUAUGUGUUGUUGGCGUGAGGAACGGUGUUCUAUGUGUUGUUGGAUGUGUUGUUGGCGUGAGGGACGGUGUUCUAUGUGUUGUUGGCGUGAGGGACGGUGUUCUAUGUGUUGGUCUAUGUGUUGUUGGCGUGAGGGACGGUGUUCUAUGUGUUGUUGGAUGUGUUGUUGGCGUGAGGAACGGUGUUCUAUGUGUUGUUGGCGUGAGGAACGGUGUUCUGGAUGGUGUUCUGUGUGUUGUUGGAUGUGUUGUUGGAUGUGUUGUUGGCGUGAGGGACGGUGUUCUAUGUGUUGUUGGAUGUGUUGUUGGUGUGAGGGAUGGUGUUCUAUGUGUUGUUGGAUGUGUUGUUGGCGUGAGGGAUGGUGUUCUGUGUGUUGUUGGAUGUGUUGUUGGAUGUGUUGUUGGCGUGAGGGACGGUGUUCUAUGUGUUGUUGGAUGUGUUGUUGGCGUGAGGGAUGGUGUUCUGUGUGUUGUUGGAUGUGUUGUUGGAUGUGUUGUUGGCGUGAGGGACGGUGUUCUGUGUGCUUUCUGAUUAUCCCCCUGUCACCCCUCCUCCAAACCCACCAAAACCAUCAACAGCUCACAGCUCAUUGCAAGACAUUUCUAGGACCUUCUUGGUGUUAUUAAUUCUCUUGCAUUAACACCUAACCUCUCAAACUCACCCAGAAUUGAGUAUUUCCCAGGAAUUGCAUAUUCUCUCUCUUUCUCUCUUUUUCUCAAGCCACCAAGGGCAUUUUCCGCAUGGUCUUUGUCUCUUCUAACUCUCAUCCUCUCUUAUUUUCUCUCCCUCUCUCAUCUAUCUAUCCGUAUAUGGUAUACUUCAUACUUCAGGGCCGACUCUCAGGAGAGCUGCUGUUUCUCAUUCAGAGAUGAUAAAGAGAGAACAGUGAGAGGUCCAUGACUAGACUGUAAAUUGACAGUAGUCACUAACCUUAUCCCUUACAGGACACUGGUGACAGAUGAGGGAAAGUCAUCCAAGGCUAGUAGUUUAGUUGAAGCAGACCACCUACUAACGUGUGUUUCUGUUACUGUGUUUGUGUGCAUAUGUCUGACCAUACUAUUGUAUGUGUGUGCAUACGUGUUCGCUUGUGUGUGUCCUUUCGUGUGUAGUCCAGUCCAGUGGUAGAGCAGUGCACCAGAGUCUCUACUAUGACACAAACAAAUGUCUGGAUGCCACAGCCUCUGAACAAGCUUUCAUCACAUGGGCAUGCAGCGUUAAGGAAAACAAGCUUCUCCAUUGUGCCUCACAAAGGCUGGAGUGCUGACGCUGCAGUCGCAUGAAGCCUGCACUGGUAGCGGGGUCUGGGGCUGGGCAGGGGGUCUGGGGCUCGCUCCGUCAUGAUGGGAUGGGACACUCUUUAAAAACAGCAGGCCCAACUCAUGGAGGCUGGAGGCCCCAGGGAGGUUUAAAGGGCCACAGACACAUCCAGACAGUGCCACCUAUGUGCCACCUGUGCUUUCCAACACAUGUAGAAGGCCCAAGGCUGCAGACAAAGGAUUUGUCCCAAAUGGCACCCUAUUCCCUGUAUAGAUCACUACUAGGGCCCUGAUGAAAAAAAGUGCAAUCUAUAUAGGGAAAAGGAUGCCAUUGGGACGCAGACAUAGAUGGGCACACCUGUGGGAGGGUAGCAACCAGCUCCAUGGCUAUCACACCACUAGGUAUGAGUCUCACCAAUGAUAUGAUCCCAACACAUGUAGGAGGCUUGAUAGAUAGGUAUAAAGCAGAGGAGGCUGGUGGGGAGGAGCUGUAGGAGGAAGGGCUCAUUGUAAUGGCGUGGAUGGUAUCAAUGGAACGGUAUCAAACAUAUGGAAAUCUAGUUUGACUCUGUUCCAUUGAUUCCAUUCCAGCCAUUACAAUGAGCCCAUCCUCAUAUAGCUCCUCCCACCAGCCUCCUCUGAUGGGUACUAGGUAAAUGGCAGUACGUACAGGUCUGGGAUCAGGCUACUGUUUGAGGCUGUAGCAACCAGAUCCAUUGUUAUUAUUAUAGCACCAUGUCGCCCCUCUACACUUCUCACAUUUAUCUGUAGCAUGACUGGCUGUUCCUCAGCUCCUAAUGCAACAGAAUCCCAAUGGUUGUAAUGUGUCGGAGAACAACAGGUGUGUACUCCUAAACCCCGCCACCCCUCCACUCUUCCCCCUCUCUGGUCGAAGAUGUCACCCAUCUGACAUGUGAUUGAAACAGACCUUUAUUUAGCCUUGAACUUUACCGACCGCAACGUUCCAGACAGAAAGAUAAUAUAUUUACACAGAGCAUUGAGAGACACAGUAACCCUAGUAUUUUUAACCUUGCUUGUGUCUCUAGGGAAACGAGGGCACUUAGAUGGGAGUCGGAGGGUAGCCAGUGCUUCCCAUGAGCAACACCGUUACGGAAGUGAAUCCAGGCAGAUGAGUGUAUUUGGUGUGUGUGUGUGUUUUGUUUGUUAGGUGACACAGCAUUUACCUAGAAGAAAAAGAAACGCACACCUAUUAAGGCGAGGUGCUGGCUAGCGGAGUAGAAAACUUGAAAAUAAGGGAGAGCCGCACACUCUAGGAGCUCAGAUGCAAAAAUGUAAUAUCCAACGUUUCGACAGACAAACUGUCUUCAUCAGGGACAGCAUUUACCAACAUAUAAGAGGUUUAUUCUGUUGGAGAUGGAGAAACAGGUUGUAGUAGUCUAAUGUUGAAUGAAAUUAUGAAGGGGAGAGGGAGAAGGACAAGAUAGAGGAAGUGAAUAAAGGUAGGGUGAGAUAUGAGCCCAGAUGAGUUCUAGGGGUGGGAACACACAGUAAGUCAUAUGUAGGAUGACAGGCAAGCAGAAAAUAGCUGGGGCCCAGCAUUCAGCCUCUCCUGUCAAUCAUACAUGAGGCCAGGCAACAAAGAGCAUGUCUGAGACCAGAUCCACAUUACAGGAAUGUCGUCAUGACUACUUAUGGAAACCGUACUUGUGUAGGACUUAUUGGCACUUUGCUAUAUAUUUAUGGAAAAAUAACAUUGGGAUGAAACUCUUGGGCAGUGAUUGCUUCAAACAGUCUAAUGCAGGCUAACAAUCAUGGGCCAUUUUAACGUCUCUGUCUUCUUCAUACUUUGGAUGCGUCCCAAAUGAUACCCAAUCCCCUGUAAAGUGCACUACUGUUUACCAGAUCCCUAUGGGCCGGUGGAAAGGGAACAGCGUGCCAUUUAGGAUGCAACCUUUAUUUCCAACAACAGCAGGUUUCUUGGGCUCCUGAGUGAUGCACCGGUCUAAGGCACUGCAUCUCAGGGCUAGAGGCAUCACUACAGACCCUGGUUCGAUUCCAGGCUCUAUCACAACCGGCCGUAAUUGGGAGUCCCACAGGCGAGGGUAUGGCCGGGAUAGGCCGUCAUUUUAAAUAAGAAUAUGUUCUUAACUGACUUGCCUAGUUAAAUAAAAUACAAAUAAAAUAUAAUUCACCAUCAUUUAAACAUACCACUUCAAUGCUGUCAUUUCAUUCUCUACAAUUGCAAAUAUAGUGCUAUUAAAAAGCAACUUUGUUGUGUGUUGUAACACUGCAUAACAUAUUUUAUAUGUGGUGUGAAAGAGCUUCUUUUUGUGCCGGUUUUCCUCAUACUGUAAGAAAUAAUAAUUUUUCAGAAAAAAAGAAACAGCAUUUCAAAAUACCUGUUUGAUCCAACUUUUGACACCAUGCUUCCAUCCUGAAUGGUACCUUAUUACCUGUAUAGUGCACUGCUUUUGACCCUGUGGGGAUGCAUCCCAUAUCUUAAUAUAGCUAGUAAUGGGGAGGCACAACAAUGGUCAACUUUGACAUGUGUUUUUUGGUGGACACUGCAUUUUGUUGUUUCGUUGUGAAACCAAUCUUUGCAUGCCUGUGCGUGUGUGUGUUUGAGAGUUUUUCUUUGUAGUGGCCCGUGUGUGUGUGUGUGUGUGUACACGUUUGUUAUGUCUGUGUACAUCCUGUGUGUGUGUGUUGCGUUUUGUUUUGCAUUGUCCAGCCUGUGUGUGUGUCUCCACCGUGUAUUGUGACUGUAACACUGUGCUGAGACAGCAGCGAGGCAUCUGCCAAGAAUGUGAUGUCAUAGGAGCGCCCCUGACCCCUGAGUGAUAGAGCUGCACUGGAUCUUUCCUUUUUCUUUCUUUUAAUGUAUCUAUUCUUUCCUUUUUGUUUCCUUCAGUGAGUGGUUGUGUUUGUGCUGUGUUGGUUAUCCAUGUGGACCGUUUAGAAUUGUUUUGUCUUUGACGUCUGUGCUUGUAGAAUUGCUGUUGUUUUUUCCUGUUUCCUCGUUGGGGCCAGUGUUUUGAGAUGUGAUUGGUUGGAUAGUGGAGUGCUGACAUUAGGGUUGCCACGAUAGAUCUUGUCUUUGGUUUCUCCAAUCCAGAUUCCAAACUCUAUGACUGUACUAAAGAUUCCUCUCUCCAUCUUGUUUCUUAUUGGCUUGAUUGAUGUCAGUAUUUAUUUGGUCCGAUCAAUUGUUAGGUUGUUUCUCAAGAGAUUAUAUUGACCUGUUGACAACAUCAUCACACCAUGCACAUCAUUCCAGACCAUUACAAAUCCACACCAGACCAUAACUCUUUGAAACCCAACACUGACAAAUGGUGGUAAGCCAAUAUAAAGUGAUUGUCAAUCAUUCUCAUAACACUGAUUUAGGUUACUCAGUCUUCUCUUACUGAAUCAUAAACUUGACUCCAAUUAACAGCAGUUUAGUAUUUUUGAGGAAUGUCAUUUGUGAUUUCCCUAUCAAGGUCAACGACUUGGGUUUCCUCCAGCAAAACAAUAGUUUAACUUUCGCAAACGACCAUCAUCACGCUUGCAGAUAGUGCUAGAGAGCCUAGUGAGCUGAGCCUCACGGCCGGGAUAUGUCAUGAAGGGCUGAAUGUGCUCAUUGUUCCUGAUUGCUUAUUUAAUGAAAAGGUCCCUCUGAGUGCAGCUAGCCUAGCGCCCGCCCGGGGCUCUUUGUCUAAGCACAGAGGGGGAAACAGCCAGCAGUGUCCUUUUUGAAAACUGUCCAGCUGUCAAAGUGGCAGUGACAUUUUCACAAUGCCCCCCUCAUCUCAUGUCCUCUCUUCCUCCCAGCGCUGCCUGUGAGCCUCCCUCCCUCCCUCUGUUCCCUAUCCCCUCCCAACUAGGACUGGCACCAGGGCCAAAUCCACAUGUGACCAUGCACACACAAACCAAGUUCUCUCUUCUCGCCAUCUCUGGAUUAUCUCUCCAUGACGGCAUCAAUGGGUCACUGAAAACCCAAAAUGUCUUCCUAUCCCUUAUCAGAGGACAAAACCCCUCUGAGCUUUGAACACCUCUCACCAACCCAUUUUUUAUCCCACAGAGAGAUCUCUAUUUUGGCAACCCUAUAUCUCUAAUAGCUACUUGCAGGCAUCUCCGUGGUGUUAUUGACUGGUGUAUUGAUGUGUUGGGGGGCGCUUGGCCGCAGUGUGGUUGGGUUGGUUGCGUUUGGUUCUGCUGUCAAACUUGGGGUUUGCUGCUGUCUGUCAGUGGCUGUGUAAGGCCAGGUCUGUGAUCUCUACCUCUAACUCCCUGUCUGUUUCUGUCCUGUAGGAUCCCUGCUCACUACGUGUACCCUCAGGCCUUCAUGCAGCCAAGCACCAUGGUCAUUCCCCAUGCCAUGCAGCCCAGCGCAGCCUCUGCCUCCACCGGCUCCUCACCGUACAUCGACUACACUGGAGCCGCCUACGCACAGUAUUCCGCCGCCGUGGCCGCUAGCGCUGCUGCAGCCUACGAGCAGUAUCCCUACGCUGCCUCCCCUGUGGCGGCCGGGUACAUAACUGCGGCCGGUUACGGCUACGUUCAGCAGCCCCUGCCUACGGCCGCACCGGGGUCAGCCGUCGCUGCAGCCGCAGCUUUCGGUCAGUACCAGCCUCAGCAGCUGCAAGCUGACCGCAUGCAAUAGCAGCCACUGCAGCCAUUGGACACGAGGGGAUGGGAGGCCCACGGCUGAUUGGCUGUGCAGAGGAAGGAGGAGGAGGAAGAGAGAGGGGCCGUGUUGUUAAGUGACGGAGUCGUUAAGAUGGUGGUGGUGAGGUGGGAGAUCCAUACAGUAGCUUCCCAACUUGCUGUGCUUAACCCCCCCCCCAAAAAAAAUUAGUAAACAUUACCAAUUCACAGAACAAAAUAAGGUGGAUUUAUCCUUAUGAUUAUUAUUGUUGUUAUUAAUAUAAUUAUUACUAUUAUUAUAAUUGUAGUAGAGUAUUUAUUUAUAGAAGAGAAAUGCAACGACUAAGCUUGGUGUAAAAUAUUACCUUAUGUUCCAUUGCUGUCAUUAACAUAGAAGAGAGAGAGCGUUCUCUUUACGGGACACUUACACGUGUUCUGAAGCCCUUAUAACAUAUAUUUAUUAUCACAUUUCGAGGACUCUUGUCGUUCUGUCUUUUCAAGUGCAUUGAAGUAAAUGUUGUGAUAAUCAGGGAAAUGGACCAGUUUCCAGUGUGUUAGUAAAGACAAUCUCUGCCUUCGUGGCUCGUGUCACGCAUUACGAACUACCUUUUAAUCUUCCUGAUGCUGAUUGUCCCUUUUUUGACUCUGUAUCUUGAUCUCUUGACCUAUGCAAAGCAAACAGUUCACCAGAAGACAAAAAAGCUGCAGGAAUAACCAAAAAUGCCAUCUACUCAUCAACUCUUCAAAGGGCAUCACAAACAAUAUGAAGGCAACUCCGAAAGAAAGGUUUUCAGACAAUGAGAAUCACCAAAUCAGUUACUCUCAAACACAUACAUUACGCACACACACACAGUUAUGUACAUAGUGGUAAAGGACAAAGGGCUCAGUCGUGUUCCCCUCUGGCUCUGUGCAAUGGGAUCUAGUCAGAGUGAAAGAGAGGGAGGGAGCAGCUGCGGGUGGGGAGGGGGGUGGGACAGUUAGCCCAGCGCCACACAGAUGGAUCACUCUGGAAAGAACGCAUCACUUGUGCUUAUUUGUUGAGCUGUCAAAUUUUAAUCCCUGGGCCCAUUUGGGAACUGGGCCCUCUGGCCUGCCUGUCUGUCUGCCUGCCCCUGUCAGCAUUUCCACCUCUGUCCUCUGUCCUAGAGCUGGCCGGCUGGGCUGGUGUCAGGUACAUACACUGCCCUCCUAUCCUAACCCUAACCAACCCCCCUAGGCCUGGUCCUGUAACCACUCCUUACAGCCUCACCAACCCCCUGACCCUUGCCCUGUACCCAUUCCUCUAAGUCUCACCAACUCCUCCUCUACCCAGACUACAUACCCCAACUCCGGGGCUCCUUUCUGAGGGUCUGGAAAGUGGUGGCAGUGGGGAAUGUAGAAAGGGGGUGGCGGGGCUGCAGGCGCUUGACAUGAAUCUGGGGGUUCUUCGUGUGCCUCACAUUUGUGUUGCUAUUUAAGAGAGUAAGAAAAGAGAUCUAUUUAAGAUAUUUAUUUUCAGAGUUGACUAUGUUCUAUGUGCUCUACGGACAAAGACUUAGUGGCGGUACUGAAUUACUAUUGUUAUGUAUUCAUCUCAAGGCAUAUAAGUUAUUGAGUAGAUUUAGUUGUAUUAUUAUUAUUAACAUACUCUACCAAAAAUGUUGAUUUAUUUAAGAUACAAUUCUGUAUGUGCACUGUACAAUUAUACUUUUUGCCUUUUUGAAAUCUUAGAACAUGACAUUAAAUAUUGGCUAGAUGAAUGCCUUUUGUAUGAAAUUUUAUUUAAAUGCAGGCAUACUUGCGUGCAGACUGUUAUUCUGCCUCUGUUUAGAACCGUUGGAAAAGACAAAAAAAUCCUGACAAAUGAGCAAAAUGCUGCUUUAUACAUUAGAAUGUAUAGUUAUUGUCAUGGUUUGGAUAGCUGUGCUUCUAUUGCUUUUAAUAUACAUCAGAUGGGCUAUUUUACACUUGGGAAUUUUUAUACUUGAACUAUUUCUUACAAGGGAAAAUAUGAAAAUAAAUGACAAAAAUACUUUUUAAGGAAGCUUUUCAUUGUCACUGGAUUAAGGCAUGUACAGUGUUAACCUUAUUUCAGAAUUUCAACACUAUUUACUCUAAAUUGAAAUAAAAGGUUCUAUAUUUAAUCAGAAUGUUUUUAUUUUUAUUUACUCAAGAUACAA
RNAcentral lists this long non-coding RNA (9803 nucleotides) under Salmo salar (Atlantic salmon). RNAcentral describes it as "lncRNA (ENSSSAG00000106524.1)". The record is from RNAcentral. Lineage: Eukaryota; Metazoa; Chordata; Actinopteri; Salmoniformes; Salmonidae.